Molecule: ribosomal RNA, 397 nt
Filed under: uncultured bacterium
Lineage: Bacteria
Description: partial 16S ribosomal RNA
Rfam family: Bacterial small subunit ribosomal RNA
Source: RNAcentral
AAUCUUGCGCAAUGUGCGAAAGCCUGACGCAGCCAUGCCGCGUGAAUGAUGAAGGUCUUAGGUUUGUAAAAUUCUUUCACCUGGGACGAAAAUGACCGGACACGGAGAAGAAGCCCCGGCCCACUCCGUGCCAGCUGCUGCGGUAAUACGUAGGGGGCUAGCGUUGCUCGGAAUUCCUGGGCGUAAAGGGCGCGUAGGCGGAUAGUUAAGUCAGGGGUGAAAUCCCGGGGCUCAACCUCGGAAUUGCCCUUGAUACUGGCGAUCUUGAGUAUGAGAGAGGUAUGUGGAACUCCGAGUGUAGAGGUGAAAUUCGUAGAUAUUCGGAAGAAAACCAGUGGCGAAGGCGACAUACUGGCUCAUUACUCACGCUGAGGCGCGAAAGCGUGGGGAGCAAACA